RNAcentral lists this ribosomal RNA (482 nucleotides) under uncultured bacterium. Its description in RNAcentral is "bacterial SSU rRNA". It matches the Rfam family "Bacterial small subunit ribosomal RNA", at positions 29 to 506 of the family's 1533-position model. The record is from RNAcentral.
UUGAACGCUGGCGGAAUGCUUUACACAUGCAAGUCGAGCGGCAGCGCGGGGGCAACCCUGGCGGCGAGCGGCGAACGGGUGAGUAACACAUCGGAACGUACCCAGUUGUGGGGGAUAGCCCGGCGAAAGCCGGAUUAAUACCGCAUACGACCUGAGGGUGAAAGGGGGGGAUCGCAAGACCUCUCGCAGUUGGAGCGGCCGAUGGCGGCUUAGCUAGUUGGUGGGGUAAAGGCCUACCAAGGCGACGAUCCGUAGCUGGUCUGAGAGGACGACCAGCCACACUGGAACUGAGACACGGUCCAGACUCCUACGGGAGGCAGCAGUGGGGAAUUUUGGACAAUGGGGGCAACCCUGAUCCAGCCAUUCCGCGUGAGUGAAGAAGGCCUUCGGGUUGUAAAGCUCUUUCGGCGGGAACGAAACGGUGGAGGCUAAUACCUUUCAUCAAUGACGGUACCUGAAGAAGAAGCACCGGCUAACUACGU